CUGCUUCACAGUUCCGGGAGGAACAAACACACAUGGCUCAGCAGGUUAAUGACUGAAGUAGAUGGUAUGUGCUGUCUACCAGGCUGCCAAGAGAUCUCUUCCUGAGAACAACAGGAGAAACUGCUCCCAACAGUGCUGAAAGGUGCUGAGAUCUGUGAGGCACGCUGCACUAUCUGCCUCUGCAGAGCAAAGAGACACACUGGAGGACACAAAAUGGCCCAAAGUCUCUGCCUUGGAACUUACACUCUUGGAAGAGGAGGAAAGCAGUGGCAGUAAAUAAAUAAAUCAUCUAGAGCAGUGGUUCUCAUUCUGUGGGGUCGAGACCCCUUGCAGUCGAAUGAUCUUUUCACAGGGGUCACCUAAGACCAUCGGAAAUAUCAGAUUUUU
This 387-nucleotide long non-coding RNA is filed under the name Mus spicilegus (steppe mouse). Its description in RNAcentral is "lncRNA (ENSMSIG00000025129.1)". Lineage: Eukaryota; Metazoa; Chordata; Mammalia; Rodentia; Muridae. The record is from RNAcentral.